RNAcentral lists this ribosomal RNA (254 nucleotides) under uncultured bacterium. Its description in RNAcentral is "partial 16S ribosomal RNA". It matches the Rfam family "Bacterial small subunit ribosomal RNA", at positions 524 to 776 of the family's 1533-position model. The record is from RNAcentral.
UACGUAGGGUGCGAGCGUUGUCCGGAAUUACUGGGCGUAAAGAGCUCGUAGGUGGUUUGUCGCGUUGUUCGUGAAAAACCGGGGGCUUAACCCUCGGCGUGCGGGCGAUACGGGCAGACUUGAGUACUGCAGGGGAGACUGGAAUUCCUGGUGUAGCGGUGGAAUGCGCAGAUAUCAGGAGGAACACCGGUGGCGAAGGCGGGUCUCUGGGCAGUAACUGACGCUGAGGAGCGAAAGCGUGGGGAGCGAACAGG